This 240-nucleotide ribosomal RNA is filed under the name uncultured bacterium. RNAcentral's name for it is "partial 16S ribosomal RNA". It matches the Rfam family "Bacterial small subunit ribosomal RNA", at positions 796 to 1041 of the family's 1533-position model. The record is from RNAcentral. RNAcentral also lists the same sequence under 1 other name.
CACGCCGUAAACGAUGAUCACUCGCUGUUUGCGAUAUACAGUAAGCGGCUAAGCGAAAGCGUUAAGUGAUCCACCUGGGGAGUACGAUCGCAAGGUUGAAACUCAAAGGAAUUGACGGGGGCCCGCACAAGCGGAGGAACAUGUGGUUUAAUUCGAUGAUACGCGAGGAACCUUACCUGGGCUUAAAUGGGGGACGACAGCUGCUGAAAGGUGGUUUUCUUCGGACGUUCUUCAAGGUGC